CAGCCGCCGCGGGAAUACGAAGGGUGCGAGCGUUAAUCGGAAUUACUGGGCGUAAAGCGUGUGCAGGCGGUUAUAUAAGACAGAUGUGAAAUCCCCGGGCUCAACCUGGGACCUGCAUUUGUGACUGUAUAGCUAGAGUACGGUAGAGGGGGAUGGAAUUCCGCGUGUAGCAGUGAAAUGCGUAGAUAUGCGGAGGAACACCGAUGGCGAAGGCAAUCCCCUGGACCUGUACUGACGCUUAUGCACGAAAGCGUGGGGAGCAAACAGGAUUAGAUACCCCGGUAGUCCCUGUCUCUUAUAC
This 301-nucleotide ribosomal RNA is filed under the name uncultured bacterium. RNAcentral's name for it is "partial 16S ribosomal RNA". It matches the Rfam family "Bacterial small subunit ribosomal RNA", at positions 509 to 807 of the family's 1533-position model. The record is from RNAcentral.